GGUUGAUCCUGCCGGACCUGACUGCUAUCGGAUUGGUACUAAGCCAUGCGAGUCAUUGUAGCAAUACAAGGCGGACGGCUCAGUAACACGUAGUCAACCUAACCUAUGGACGUGGAUAACCUCGGGAAACUGAGAAUAAACCACGAUAGAUCAUAAUGCCUGGAAUGGCUUAUGGUUCAAACAAUUUAUUGCCGUAGGAUGGGACUGCGGCCUAUCAGCUUGUUGGUGAGGUAAUGGCCCACCAAGGCUAUAACAGGUACGGGCUCUGAGAGGAGAAGCCCGGAGAUGGGUACUGAGACACGGACCCAGGCCCUAUGGGGCGCAGCAGGCGAGAAACCUUAGCAAUGUGCGAAAGCACGACUAGGUUAAUCCGAGUGGUUCCUGCUAAAGGAACCUUUUGUCAGUCGUAAAACCACAGACGAAUAAGGGGUGGGCAAGUCUGGUGUCAGCCGCCGCGGUAAUACCAGCACCUCGAGUGGUCAGGAGGUUUAUUGGGCCUAAAGCAUCCGUAGCCGGCUACGCAAGUCUUCGGUUAAAUCCAACUGCUCAACAGAUGGGCUGCCGGAGAUACUACAUAGCUAGGGAGCGGGAGAGGCAGACGGUAUUCGGUGGGUAGGGGUAAAAUCCACUGAUCCAUCGAGGACCACCAGUGGCGAAGGCGGUCUGCCAGAACGCGUUCGACGGUGAGGGAUGAAAGCUGGGGGAGCAAACCGGAUUAGAUACCCGGGUAGUCCCAGCUGUAAACGAUGCAAACUCGGUGAUGCGUUGGCUUAUGGCCAACGCAGUGCCGCAGGAAGCCGUUAAGUUUGCCGCCUGGGAAGUACGGACGCAAGUCUGAAACUUAAAGGAAUUGGCGGGGGAGCACCNACAAGGGUGAAGCCUGCGGUUCAAUUGGA
This 896-nucleotide ribosomal RNA is filed under the name uncultured archaeon. Its description in RNAcentral is "bacterial SSU rRNA". It matches the Rfam family "Archaeal small subunit ribosomal RNA", at positions 6 to 910 of the family's 1478-position model. The record is from RNAcentral.